Long non-coding RNA from Lampris incognitus (smalleye Pacific opah), 260 nucleotides. RefSeq lists it as uncharacterized. The transcript has 3 exons. NCBI's taxonomy places the organism in Eukaryota, Metazoa, Chordata, Actinopteri, Lampriformes, Lampridae. The record is from RefSeq and is a predicted model, not a curated record.
GCUCUACUGGAAAAGGAACAAAAUGUGAUCCACCGUGAAGUUGAAAUGACUAAAGAUCAGGAAUUUAAGCAACUCUCGACUCAGCUAGAUGGUGCCAGGCUGUAUCUCUUUGAGAAGGUCAAUAAUAUCUCCCAAGAUAUAGCAAAAGUUGAUGUCCUCAUCAGGGCUGAGGAGCAUGCAGCAGAGCUGGCCAAACUGGCAAGAGAUUUUCAACUCAAUACAUCCUCUGGCCUGCUCAGUGUCAUAGUGGGAACUGGAGC